Molecule: ribosomal RNA, 253 nt
Filed under: uncultured bacterium
Lineage: Bacteria
Description: partial 16S ribosomal RNA
Rfam family: Bacterial small subunit ribosomal RNA
Source: RNAcentral
UACGUAGGGUGCAAGCGUUGUCCGGAAUUAUUGGGCGUAAAGAGCUCGUAGGCGGUUUGUCGCGUCUGCUGUGAAAACUCGGGGCUUAACUCCGGGCCUGCAGUGGGUACGGGCAGACUAGAGUGCGGUAGGGGAGACUGGAAUUCCUGGUGUAGCGGUGAAAUGCGCAGAUAUCUGGAGGAAUACCGGUGGCGAAGGCGGCAUCCUGGACCGACAUUGACGCUGAUGAGCGAAAGCUAGGGGAGCAAACGGG